GUGGGGAAUAUUGGGCAAUGGGCGAAAGCCUGACCCAGCAACGCCGCGUGAAGGAAGAAGGCUUUCGGGUUGUAAACUUCUUUUGUCAGGGACGAAAAAAAUGACGGUACCUGACGAAUAAGCCACGGCUAACUACGUGCCAGCAGCCGCGGUAAUACGUAGGUGGCAAGCGUUAUCCGGAUUUACUGGGUGUAAAGGGCGUGUAGGCGGGAAAGCAAGUCAGAUGUGAAAACUAUGGGCACAAGCCAUAGCCAGCAUUUGAAACUGUUUUUCUUGAGUACUGAAGAAGCAGAUGGAAUUCCUAGUGUAGCGGUGAAAUGCGUAGAUAAUAGGAGGAACACCAGUGGCGAAGGCGAUCUGCUGGACAGCAACUGACGAUGAGGCGCUAAAGCGUGGGGAGCAAACAGGAUUAGAAGCCCCAGUAGUCC
Molecule: ribosomal RNA, 428 nt
Filed under: uncultured bacterium
Lineage: Bacteria
Description: partial 16S ribosomal RNA
Rfam family: Bacterial small subunit ribosomal RNA
Source: RNAcentral